UGGGGAAUUUUGGACAAUGGGGGAAACCCUGAUCCAGCCAUCCCGCGUGUGCGAUGAAGGCCUUCGGGUUGUAAAGCACUUUUGGCAGGAAAGAAACGUCGCGGGUUAAUACCCCGCGAAACUGACGGUACCUGCAGAAUAAGCACCGGCUAACUACGUGCCAGCAGCCGCGGUAAUACGUAGGGUGCAAGCGUUAAUCGGAAUUACUGGGCGUAAAGCGUGCGCAGGCGGUUCGGAAAGAAAGAUGUGAAAUCCCAGAGCUUAACUUUGGAACUGCAUUUUUAACUACCGGGCUAGAGUGUGUCAGAGGGAGGUGGAAUUCCGCGUGUAGCAGUGAAAUGCGUAGAUAUGCGGAGGAACACCGAUGGCGAAGGCAGCCUCCUGGGAUAACACUGACGCUCAUGCACGAAAGCGUGGGGAGCAAACAGGAUUAGAUACCCUGGUAGUCCACGCCCUAAACGAUGUCAACUAGUUGUUGGGGAUUCAUUUCCUUAGUAACGUAGCUAACGCGUGAAGUUGACCGCCUGGGGAGUACGGUCGCAAGAUUAAAACUCAAAGGAAUUGACGGGGUCAUAGCUG
RNAcentral lists this ribosomal RNA (579 nucleotides) under uncultured bacterium. RNAcentral's name for it is "partial 16S ribosomal RNA". It matches the Rfam family "Bacterial small subunit ribosomal RNA", at positions 355 to 932 of the family's 1533-position model. The record is from RNAcentral.